This 392-nucleotide unclassified non-coding RNA is filed under the name uncultured Chaetothyriales. Its description in RNAcentral is "sequence contains ITS2". The stretch from base 1 to 153 matches the Rfam family "5.8S ribosomal RNA". The record is from RNAcentral. Lineage: Eukaryota; Fungi; Ascomycota; Eurotiomycetes; Chaetothyriales.
AACUUUUAGCAAUGGAUCACUUGGUUCUGGCAUCGAUGAAGAACGCAGCGAAAUGCGAUAAGUAAUGCGAAUUGCAGAGCCCGUGAGUCAUCGAAUCUUUGAACGCAUAUUGCGCCCCUUGGCAUUCCGAGGGGCAUGCCUGUUCGAGCGUCAUUAUCACCCCUCAAGCCCCCGGCUUGGUGUUGGACUCAGUCGUCGCUCGCCCGGUGACUGGUCUCGAAGACAGUGACGCCGUCCCAGAGGGAACCGGUACGAGGAGCUUUCUUAACCGAAGCAUGUGCCGGGAAGACUCUUGCGGGGCGGCGGUCUCUUGCACCCACAAAUUUUCAAGUGUUGACCUCGGAUCAGGUAGGAAUACCCGCUGAACUUAAGCAUAUCAAUAAGCGGAGGCU